Molecule: long non-coding RNA, 503 nt
Organism: Vollenhovia emeryi
Lineage: Eukaryota; Metazoa; Arthropoda; Insecta; Hymenoptera; Formicidae
Exons: 2
Source: RefSeq, a predicted model, not a curated record
AGUACGCAAAAGAGAGAGAGAGAGAGAGAGAGAGAGAGAGAGAGAGAACGGAGAAAAAAUAAGAGAGCGAAAGGUGCGAUGUAAAAAUACGGAUAUACAGGACACAGGAGCGUGUGUUAACCCGUGUUCACCAUAUGUGCUUACCGCUUUAGCGUAUAUAGCGACGCCUUUACACUGUGAUCACGUUUACAAAGAAAAUAGUCUUAAAGCUAGAAGAUAGACGUAAAGGUAUAUAUCUUUAGGGCAAACGAGAGUACGACGAGAGCACAGUCUCGAGUAUAAUAAGACCAGGCGAUACCCACGACAAACCACCCACACCCUUGUUCCCCUCUCAAACCCUCCCCCUCUCACAAUUUAUUUAUACAUACGAAUAAAGAUAUAUUUAAAUCGAAUAAGAAUGGAACAAAAAAAUAUUGUUGAUGUUACUACGGUGUAAUGGGUACAAUCUAAAUACAUGAAUAUUAUGUAUAUAAGGAAUAGAACGGAGGAUUUUUAUGGCAUAA